RNAcentral lists this ribosomal RNA (446 nucleotides) under uncultured bacterium. RNAcentral describes it as "partial 16S ribosomal RNA". It matches the Rfam family "Bacterial small subunit ribosomal RNA", at positions 29 to 523 of the family's 1533-position model. The record is from RNAcentral.
AACGAACGCCGGCGGCAGGCCUAACACAUGCAAGUCGAACGCCCCGCAAGGGGAGUGGCGCACGGGUGAGUAACGCGUGGGAAUAUGCCCUUCGGUUCGGAAUAACUCAGGGAAACUUGGGCUAAUACCGGAUACGGACUACGGUCGAAAGAUUUAUCGCCGAGGGAGUAGCCCGCGUAGGAUUAGCUAGUUAGUGAGGUAAUGGCUCACCAAGGCGACGAUCCUUAGCUGGUCUGAGAGGAUGAUCAGCCACACUGGGACUGAGACACGGCCCAGACUCCUACGGGAGGCAGCAGUGGGGAAUAUUGGACAAUGGGGGCAACCCUGACCAGCCAUGCCGCGUGAGUGAUGAAGGCCUUAGGGUUGAGAAGCUCUUUCGUCGGGGAAGAUAAUGACGGUACCCGAAGAAGAAGCCUCGGCUAACUCCGUGCCAGCCGCCGCAGUAA